GUCAACGACCCCCGGCUAAAGCCGGAGGCUUCCAGCCUUGAGUUGACCAGACUCAGUAGUUAACAACUACUACGUUUAGGGGGAGUGUUAAAGUUCCUACCUUGCACGGGUACAUGAUACUAGCCUCAAGCUCUAGAACUAGAAAGUUAAACAGAUUUAGAUGGGUUAAGUCAGUGCUUUCUAGAUACGCCGCCCCUAAACAUUGUCGUUCGCGAAGCGCGUCUCAG
Mastigocoleus testarum BC008 is the source of this 227-nucleotide non-coding RNA. It matches the Rfam family "HNH endonuclease-associated RNA and ORF (HEARO) RNA". NCBI's taxonomy places the organism in Bacteria, Bacillati, Cyanobacteriota, Cyanophyceae, Nostocales, Hapalosiphonaceae. The record is from Rfam.